Non-coding RNA from Nicotiana tabacum (common tobacco), 614 nucleotides. NCBI's taxonomy places the organism in Eukaryota, Viridiplantae, Streptophyta, Magnoliopsida, Solanales, Solanaceae. The record is from RefSeq and is a predicted model, not a curated record.
UCUAUUACAUUAGGUAUACCCUUUUUUCUUCUCUUUUUCAAUCUCAUUCUUUUCUUUCUCUCCAUUCUCUUGGCAGACCGACUUUCCCCCAUUUUCAGAAAUCAGAGCUUUCACUAAGCUCAUGCAAAAUCGGGUUUGAACCUAUGGUGUGCAUUUGAUCUACUGAAAAUCAAAGUCCUGGAGUCUACGGUGAAGCCAUUUUUCAGCUUCUCAAAUCAGGUUAUAAUUCUUGAGAUGGAACGUGAACAUCGUAGAUGGAUGUACGAUAGGAAUCGUCCUAAUCGUUGUGGAUUAAAGGAAGAAUUUGUUGAAGGUGUUAAAGGAUUUAUUGCUCAUGCAAAAAUGCUUCCUGAAUUUCGUAACGAAGGAAUAAUUAGGUGUCCUUAUGUGAAAUGCAAGUGUACAAAGUUAUUGCAAUCGGAAAUGUUAAAGUUCAUCUUUAUAGCAAGGGGUUUAGGGAAAAUUAUUAUGUGUGGACCGUUCAUGGAGAGAACUAUUGUAGUGUUGGUGAUUUUUAUUUUCAAAAUCUAGUUAGUGGUGAGAGAAGUACACAAAUGGAGAAUAAUGUUGAGAAUUCUCAAUUACAUGAAAUGGUGUCAGAUGCUUUUGGUUUU